CCUGCCCAAUGAUAAUUAAUAGUUAUUUAAUGGCCGCGGUAUUUAUGACCGUGCAAAGGUAGCAUAAUCAUUAGUCUUUUAAUUGAAGGCUUGUAUGAAUGGUUGAACAAAAGGAAUACUGUCUUGUCUUUAAUAAAAAUUGAAUUUAACUUUUAAGUGAAAAGGCUUAAAUGAUUUAGAGGGACGAUAAGACCCUAUAAAACUUUAUAAGAAAAAAGAUUAAUUAAGUUUUUAUUAAAAAUAAAUAUUUUAUUUUUAUUAAGUUGGGGCAACUAUAGUAUAAUUAUUAUUAACUGCUUUAUAUUAUAAACAAAUAUAUUUGAAUUAAAGUUAAAUGAUCCUUUGUUAUUAAAGAUUUAAAGAUUAAGUUACUUUAGGGAUAACAGCGUUAUUUUUUUUGAGAGUCCAUAUUGAAAAAAGAGUUUGCGACCUCGAUGUUGAAUUAAAAUUUCUAUAUAGUGCAGUUAUUAUAUAAGAGGGUCUGUUCGACCUUUAAUUUUUUACGUGAUCUGAGUU
RNAcentral lists this ribosomal RNA (516 nucleotides) under Moritschus henrici. RNAcentral's name for it is "partial large subunit ribosomal RNA". It matches the Rfam family "Bacterial large subunit ribosomal RNA", at positions 1858 to 2611 of the family's 2925-position model. The record is from RNAcentral. Lineage: Eukaryota; Metazoa; Arthropoda; Malacostraca; Decapoda; Pseudothelphusidae.